UUUUUUCACAAUAAUACUAGUAUUUUUCGUUCAUUAUUGUUUAAAGUUAAUUUUAAAAAUUAUUUUUAACUUUUUAGUUCGAUGUGCUUUAAAAGCGUGUUUUUUAGUUUUUUUUAACUAUAUUUUUUUUUUUACUGUCGUAUAAACCAAUUUUAUAGACCAAGUUAUGACAGGAAAUUAGCAAUAAAAAUUUACGACGUACUAAAUGAGUCAUAACAAUAAUAAGUUCAAAUUGAGUUUUUGCUGUAUUAUUAAUAUCUAAGUCUUUCAGUUUGUAACCUGUGUUUACUGACACAAAUAGACAAGUACUACCGUUCCGAUUACUCGUCUAUUUGUAAAAUAAUUUUGUAUUUUCCAUGUUUUUUUGUUAUUUAUUGUAAUCAACUACCCCCACCCCCUCUCUUCACUUGGCCUACUAAAGUCAUAGUCGUUGUGUCCGGUACUACCGGCACCUAAGUAAAUACGUACGUGCACGUGUUUAUAGUGUUGUUAUACCGUUGAGUCGGAUGACUCCUGACCAAUGAGCUGGCGUGUUUUUUAAUACGCACAUUUUGUGUACGAUCGAUGAGUCGUUCCGUGGAAUUUUUACUGACUCGUGGCCAAUGAUAGAACGGUGGUUCAUUUUUUUGGUGUUGUUCUCCGGUCCGGCGCCAUUUCGAAUCUUUCAACUGUCAAUUGCUUAAAACAGUUAUCUCAUAUAACAUCUUUACAAGAACGCCUAACUUAGUCCGUGAUUACUUCGUUAAUCAAGCUGGAAGCUGUACCUCCAUGUAAUCGUUGAAUCUUUGGAUUGACUUGGUUGGAGUAUAUCGUUUCAUAAUUCUCUUAGUCCUGAUCUGUUCAACAAUAAAAAAGCAAUGAAUGCCGAGGCUCUCAUAACCUACCUAAGUUGAAGCUCUCACUCAAUUGUUCUUCAAAUGUUCAGUCUUCUCCGAAAUAUUUAAUGUUUUAAUUACCAGUUAUUUCGAUCACUCGACAGAGGGACUUAAAAAAUACAAUUGAUGUAUAAUCUUCACAGAUGUAUUAUAAAUCAGUUGUUUAACAAUUAUGACUUUGAAAAUAACUUCAGUUUGGGAAACUCAACCCACGAGAGCGUGUAAUCAAACCACAACGGAUCGUAAAGUGAUGGAAUAACUAGGGACUCCUUAUCAGGUUACCGUGUGGUGUCCAUUCGAAAACUGGAAGAACAGUGCAUGGACGCCUUGAGGAAUUCUUAUUUUACCUUCGGGGAGUUCUUUAGGAGUCAUUUGGAAUAUUUGGUGAUACUAGGAUAUUGAUAAGUUUAAGAAAUGUAUUGCAAUUUUAAAAUUUAAUUAGAUUCUAACUACUUAAUUUGUAGAAAUAAUUUAUUGUAAUUUAAUUUAAUUAUCAGUUGUAAAUAGUACAAAUUUAGCAAGUUGUUUAUUUGAAAUCACUAUGAGCUUAUAAGUUUUUUACUAUUAUACUUGUUUUGUUUCAUUUACAU
Molecule: long non-coding RNA, 1465 nt
Organism: Daktulosphaira vitifoliae (grape phylloxera)
Lineage: Eukaryota; Metazoa; Arthropoda; Insecta; Hemiptera; Phylloxeridae
Exons: 4
Source: RefSeq, a predicted model, not a curated record